AUGAUGUGCCGUGUCCAGUUUAUAUUUCUGCUAAUUUUGUGCAUCUCAGGAACCAGUGGUGAUGCUGUGAUGACCCAGACUCCACUCUCUUUAUCAGUUACCAUUGGACAAUCAGCCUCCAUCUCUUGUCGGUCAAGUCAGAGUCUCUUAAGUAGUGAUGGAAAUACCUAUUUGAUUUGGCUCCUACAGAGGCCAGGCCAGUCUCCACAGAACCUAAUCUAUUUGGUGUCCAAAGGUAACUCUGGAGUCCCUGACAGGUUCAGUGGCAGUGGGUCAGGGACAGAUUUCACUCUCAAAAUCAGCAAAGUAGAGGCUGAGGAUUUGGGAGUUUAUUACUGCUUUCAGCAUACAUAUGCUCCUCCCACAGUGAUACAGAACCUAACAAUAACUUUGCUCAGAGAGGCCCAGUUGCAAUGUGCUGCUUGA
Microtus ochrogaster (prairie vole) is the source of this 426-nucleotide non-coding RNA. NCBI's taxonomy places the organism in Eukaryota, Metazoa, Chordata, Mammalia, Rodentia, Cricetidae. The record is from the annotation of a RefSeq genome assembly.